CAGAGAGAAGGUGCAGUCCUCAGCUCAAAGGCUGCCUGUUAACCAGGUGGGAGAGCAUCAUGAGACAUUUAGUCUUACCUCACAUAAGAAUUUUAAAUUUCCAAGGUAGUGCAGAGCUCUUAGGACUUUGUCAUUUAAACCCUGACUGUGUGGGGCGAGAGCACAAAUGUCUGUUCUGCCAUCAGCCCCACAGCUGUUCCUCCCACUCAGGUGUUUUCAUCUCUCUAAAAUUGACUCCUGGCAGCCAAUUAAUUACCUGCUGGGACGACACCAUUCUUUCCACUCACAAAGGGAGCAGUUGCAGUUGGAGAAGGAGCUGGGGAAUGGCUGGGAAUGUCAGAAAAAGAAAGAAAGUGAAUAUAUUUUACAACGGAUAUUACUGGAAUAUGUGA
This 392-nucleotide long non-coding RNA is filed under the name Cyanistes caeruleus (blue tit). RNAcentral's name for it is "lncRNA (ENSCCEG00000013679.1)". Lineage: Eukaryota; Metazoa; Chordata; Aves; Passeriformes; Paridae. The record is from RNAcentral.